UACUAGAGUAGCACUCGCAUAUCAAUAAGCGGAGGAAAAGAAACUAACAAGGAUUCCCCUAGUAACGGCGAGUGAAGCGGGAAGAGCUCAAAUUUGGAAUCCUUAAAGGGUUUCCCUUUACGAAUUGUAGUUUAAAGAAGUGUUUUCUGUUGAGGUUUUGGUAAAAGUUCUUUGGAAUAGGACAUCAUAGAGGGUGAGAAUCCCGUAUUUGACCUUUACUUUCAACUUUGUGAUACACUUUCAAAGAGUCGGAUUGUUUGGGAAUGCAGUCCAAAAUGGGUGGUAAAUUUCAUCUAAAGCUAAAUAUUGGCGAGAGACCGAUAGCGAACAAGUACCGUGAGGGAAAGAUGAAAAGAACUUUGAAAAGAGAGUUAAACAGUACGUGAAAUUGUCAAAAGGGAAGCGUUUGACACCAGUGUUGUUUUUCUGAAAAUCAAUUAAAGAACUGUUUAUGUUAAGCUGUUUAGACUUUAUCAGCUAUCUGUUUAGUUUUGAGCUUUUCUUUAAUGCACUUUUCAGUUAACAAGUCAACAUCAAUUUCUUUUGCUGUAAAAAAGCUUGAGGAAGGUGGCUUGAGAUUCGUCUUAAGUGUUUAUAGCCUCUUGCCUAUGCAGUCGGAGAGAUUGAGGUCUGCAGCGUAGAUCCUUCGGGGCUAAAUGCAUUUGUGCUAAGUUAUAGCAUUUUAUAGACAACUUGUUGACUAUGAUUUGUCUUGUAGCUUACUCGCUUAUGUUAUUUUACCUACGCUUAGGAUGUUGAACUCUAUCACACACAG
RNAcentral lists this ribosomal RNA (775 nucleotides) under uncultured Neocallimastigales. RNAcentral describes it as "partial large subunit ribosomal RNA". It matches the Rfam family "Eukaryotic large subunit ribosomal RNA", at positions 20 to 627 of the family's 3401-position model. Lineage: Eukaryota; Fungi; Neocallimastigomycota; Neocallimastigomycetes; Neocallimastigales. The record is from RNAcentral.